CUACCAGGUUAAACAUUCAACACACCUGCUGUAAGGUAGGAGGUAGACUACCAGGUUAAACAUUCAACACACCUGCUGUAAGGUAGGAAGUAGUCUACCAGGUUAAACAUUCAACACACCUGCUGUAAGGUAGGAGGUAGACUACCAGGAUAAAUAUUUCAACACACCUGCUGUAAGGUAGGAGGUAGUCUACCAGGAUAAACAUUCACCUGCUGUAAGGUAGGAAGUAGACUACCAGGUUAAACAUUCACCUGCUGUAAGGUAGGAGGUAGUCUACCAGGAUAAACAUUCACCUGCUGUAAGGUAGGAAGUAGACUACCAGGUUAAACAUUC
Long non-coding RNA from Oncorhynchus tshawytscha (Chinook salmon), 333 nucleotides. The record is from Ensembl. NCBI's taxonomy places the organism in Eukaryota, Metazoa, Chordata, Actinopteri, Salmoniformes, Salmonidae.